Molecule: ribosomal RNA, 274 nt
Filed under: uncultured bacterium
Lineage: Bacteria
Description: partial 16S ribosomal RNA
Rfam family: Bacterial small subunit ribosomal RNA
Source: RNAcentral
AUACGGAGGGUGCGAGCGUUAAUCGGAAUUACUGGGCGUAAAGCGUACGUAGGCGGUUUGCUAAGUCAGAUGUGAAAGCCCCGGGCUUAACCUGGGAACUGCAUUUGAUACUGGCAGACUAGAGUAUGAUAGAGGGGGGUAGAAUUCCUGGUGUAGCGGUGAAAUGCGUAGAUAUCAGGAGGAAUCCCAGUGGCGAAGGCGGCCCCCUGGAUCAAUACUGACGCUGAGGUACGAAAGCGUGGGGAGCGAACAGGAUUAGAUACCCUAGUAGUCC